Molecule: ribosomal RNA, 492 nt
Filed under: uncultured bacterium
Lineage: Bacteria
Description: partial 16S ribosomal RNA
Rfam family: Bacterial small subunit ribosomal RNA
Source: RNAcentral
AGUGAACGCUGGCGGUAGGCCUAACACAUGCAAGUCGAACGGCAGCACAGUAAGAGCUUGCUCUUACGGGUGGCGAGUGGCGGACGGGUGAGGAAUACAUCGGAAUCUACUUUUUCGUGGGGGAUAACGUAGGGAAACUUAUGCUAACACCGCAUAUGUCCUACGGGUGAGAGCAGGGGAUCUUCGGACCUUGCGCGAUUGAAAGAGCCGAUGUCGGAUUAGCUAGUUGGCGGGGUAAAGGCCCACCAAGGCGACGAUCCGUAGCUGGUCUGAGAGGAUGAUCAGCCACACUGGAACUGAGACACGGUCCAGACUCCUACGGGAGGCAGCAGUGGGGAAUAUUGGGCAAUGGGCGAAAGCCUGAUCCAGCAAUACCGCGUGAGUGAUGAAGGCCUUCGGAUUGUAAAGCCCUGUUGUUGGGAAAGAAAAACAGCGGGUUUAUCCCCGGCUGUUCUGACGGUACCCAAAGAAUAAGCACCGGCUAACUUCGUG